CAGGCCUAACACAUGCAAGUCGAACGAAGGCUUCGGCCUUAGAGGCGCACGGGUGCGUAACGCGUGGGAAUCUGCCCCUUGGUUCGGAAUAACAGUUAGAAAUGACUGCUAAUACCGGAUAACGACGUAAGUCCAAAGAUUUAUCGCCGAGGGAUGAGCCCGCGUAGGAUUAGCUAGUUGGUGUGGUAAAGGCGCACCAAGGCGACGAUCCUUAGCUGGUCUGAGAGGAUGAUCAGCCACACUGGGACUGAGACACGGCCCAGACUCCUACGGGAGGCAGCAGUGGGGAAUAUUGGACAAUGGGCGAAAGCCUGAUCCAGCAAUGCCGCGUGAGUGAUGAAGGCCUUAGGGUUGUAAAGCUCUUUUACCCGGGAUGAUAAUGACAGUACCGGGAGAAUAAGCCCCGGCUAACUCCGUGCCAGCAGCCGCGGUAAU
RNAcentral lists this ribosomal RNA (435 nucleotides) under uncultured bacterium. RNAcentral describes it as "bacterial SSU rRNA". It matches the Rfam family "Bacterial small subunit ribosomal RNA", at positions 43 to 524 of the family's 1533-position model. The record is from RNAcentral.